RNAcentral lists this ribosomal RNA (498 nucleotides) under uncultured bacterium. Its description in RNAcentral is "partial 16S ribosomal RNA". It matches the Rfam family "Bacterial small subunit ribosomal RNA", at positions 30 to 523 of the family's 1533-position model. The record is from RNAcentral.
AUUGAACGCUGGCGGCAUGCUUUACACAUGCAAGUCGAACGGUAACAGGCCGCAAGGUGCUGACGAGUGGCGAACGGGUGAGUAAUGCAUCGGAACAUACCCAGUCGUGGGGGAUAACGCAGCGAAAGCUGUGCUAAUACCGCAUACGAUCUAAGGAUGAAAGCGGGGGACCUUCGGGCCUCGCGCGAUUGGAGUGGCCGAUGUCAGAUUAGGUAGUUGGUGGGGUAAAGGCCCACCAAGCCGACGAGCUGUAGCUGGUCUGAGAGGACGACCAGCCCCACUGGGACUGAGACACGGCCCAGACUCCUACGGGAGGCAGCAGUGGGGAAUUUUGGACAAUGGGCGCAAGCCUGAUCCAGCAAUGCCGCGUGCAGGAUGAAGGCCUUCGGGUUGUAAACUGCUUUUGUACGGAACGAAACGGUCUGGGUUAAUACCCUGGGCUAAUGACGGUACCGUAAGAAUAAGCACCGGCUAACUACGUGCCAGCAGCCGCAGUAA